Molecule: ribosomal RNA, 468 nt
Filed under: uncultured bacterium
Lineage: Bacteria
Description: partial 16S ribosomal RNA
Rfam family: Bacterial small subunit ribosomal RNA
Source: RNAcentral
GACGAACGCUGGCGGCGUGCUUAACACAUGCAAGUCGAACGGAAAGGCCCUGCUGUUGUGGGGUGCUCGAGUGGCGAACGGGGGAGUAACACGUGAGUAACCUGCCCUUGACUUUGGGAUAACUUCAGGAAACUGGGGCGAAUACCGGAUAGGAGCUCCUGCGGAAUGGUGGGGGGUGGAAAGGUUCGGCGGUUGGGGAUGGACGCGCGGCUUAUCAGAGUGUUGGUGGGGUAGUGGCUUACCAAGGCUUUGACGGGUAGCCGGCCUGAGAGGGUGACCGGCCACCUUGGGACUGCGCUACGGCCCAGACUCCUACGGGAGGCAGCAGUGGGGAAUAUUGCACAAUGGGCGGAAGCCUGAUGCAGCAACGCCGCGUGCGGGAUGACGGCCUUCGGGUUGUAAACCGCUUUCGCCUGUGACGAAGCGUGAGUGACGGUAAUGGGUAAAGAAGCACCGGCUAACUACGUG